Non-coding RNA from Prunus mume (Japanese apricot), 715 nucleotides. NCBI's taxonomy places the organism in Eukaryota, Viridiplantae, Streptophyta, Magnoliopsida, Rosales, Rosaceae. The record is from RefSeq and is a predicted model, not a curated record.
AAUACACGAAGUCCCCUUACUCAUUACGAACAAACAUCACUAUAACAAUUAUCAAGGCAACUGAGACCUAAUUUUAUGAAGAACAAAAUAUUACUCUUCGAUCCUGGCCUUUGUCAACCACAAAGUCUCGCUGUUAUUAUUUGGUUUGGAUUAGUAAAAUGGCAGAGCCUGCUAGAGUUCUAGACAACAAGGUUGAUGAGGUGCAGGAAGACAGAGAAAUGGAGCAGAAUGAAGAAUCGGUAGCAUCGCAAGAAUUGCCUAACUCGAUGUUUACAGCUGAGUUGAACCUCCUUAUUGUGUUUCUCUCAUUGUUUUCUGUAUCAACCGAAGAAAGCUUAAACUCUGUAGAGAGAGAACCAGAAAGAAGAAAAGACGGAGCUAAAGCUAUCAAGGUAUUAAAAAAGAAAAGACGGGAGAUAGACGAGGUCAAGCCGGUCCGGCGACGAACUCAAAGGUUUCAAACAAGAGUAAGGGAUUCUAGGCAUGGCCGACGAGUAUAAAGAAUGAUGUCGAUGAAGGAGGAAACUGUUCAGCAAGGAAAGAGAUGCCAAACGAUGUCAUACAAAAGUUUCCAAUUUCUCAUAACUAUAUUUUAUCCAAUUUUCCUCUACACUUAUCCCCCACAAUUAGUCGAAAAGAAAGCAAACAAAGGAAAGGAGCAUGUUUGGAAUUCUUUCAAAUAAUAUUAUAAUCAUAUUUGUUCUAUUUUCAUGCA